GCCCAGACACAAAAGCAGGAAACCCUUUGACCGGGCUCCUUCCUAUUGCACCAACAGCCUUGUGUUGCUGCAAUGAAAACACUUCCCCAAGCAGCUGUGGCCAAGAGACACAGAAACUGCCUUGUCCACGGGCCCCGCCUCAGACUCCAACACUCACAAGAAAGCAGAGGAGCCCCAAGUCUUGGGGACCACAGAAGAUGCCAUGUGCUCCACGAUGUCGGCCCCCACCUGCCUGGCCCACUUGCCUCCCUGCUUCCUGCUGCUGGCACUGGUCCUUGUCCCCUCAGAUGCCUCUGGGCAGAGCAGCAGGAAUGACUGGCAGGUGCUACAGCCCGAGGGCCCCAUGCUGGUGGCAGAAGGCGAGACACUUCUACUGAGGUGUAUGGUGGUUGGCUCCUGCACUGAUGGUAUGAUAAAAUGGGUGAAGGUGAGCACUCAGGACCAACAGGAAAUUUAUAACUUUAAACAUGGCUCCUUCCCUGGGGUAAUGCCCAUGAUCCAACGGACAUCAGAACCACUGAAUUGUGAUUAUUCCAUCUAUAUCCACAAUGUCACCAGGGAGCACACUGGAACCUACCACUGUGUGAGGUUUGAUGGUUUGAGUGAACACUCAGAAAUGAAAUCGGAUGAAGGAACCUCAGUGCUUGUGAAGGGAGCUGGGGACCCUGAACCAGACCUGUGGAUCAUCCAGCCCCAGGAAUUGGUGUUGGGGACCACUGGAGACACUGUCUUUCUGAACUGCACAGUGCUUGGAGACGGUCCCCCCGGACCCAUCAGGUGGUUCCAGGGAGCUGGUCUGAGCCGGGAGGCCAUUUACAACUUUGGAGGCAUCUCCCACCCCAAGGCGACAGCGGUGCAGGCCUCCAACAAUGACUUCAGCAUUCUUCUGCAAAACGUCUCCAGUGAGGAUGCAGGCACCUAUUACUGUGUAAAGUUUCAGAGGAAACCCAACAGGCAAUACCUGUCUGGACAGGGCACCAGGCUGAAAGUGAAAGCAAAAUCUACCUCUUCCAAAGAGGCAGAAUUCACCAGUGAACCUGCAACUGAGAUGUAUCCAACAGGUUUGCAGUGAUCUGUUACAGCGGCCACGGGAAGCUGAAACAGCAGGAAAGCAUGGAGGUGGCUCUCCACUAACUGGAGGUGGGUCCCACCUGCCCCUGCAAGCCCCCUGGCCCUGUAGGGCCCUGCAUGAGCUGGUCCCUGCCGCCCCCUCUGACCUUAUCUCCCGAGAUCCCGUAAGCUGACUCUGCUCCAGCACCCCUCUGGGCUUUGACCACACAAAGCUCCCUGAUUCAUUCAAGUCUCUGCUUAACUCUUACCUUCAAGAGGCCUCUCUGGACCACUCUAUCCAAAAGAGCACCUCCAUCACUCUCAUUCCUGCUUGCCACUUAAGUUUUCUUCAUAGUACUUACUGCUACCUGAAAACGUGUGUGUGGUGUGUGUGUGUGAGCGCACAUGCAUGUGUGUGUGCACCUAUGUGCACCUAUGUGGGUGUGUGUGCAUGUGUGCAUGUGUGUGUCUGUACCUGUGUGUGCCUGCGUGUGCACGUGUGUGUGGUGUGUGUGUGUGAGCGCACGUGCAUGUGUGUGUGCACCUAUGUGGGUGUGUGUGCAUGCAUGUGUGCAUCUGUGUGCCUGCGUGUGCACGUGUGUGUGCGUGUGUGUGCGUGUGUGCAUGUGUGCGUGUCUGUGUGUGCGUGUGUGUUUGUGUGUCUGCUUCCUUGAUGGUUGUUAGUUGUCCCCACUAGAAUUUGAGCUCCCUGGGGACAGGAACCUAAUGGUCCACUAUUGUAGCCAACCUCAUUCAAUCCUGAAACGUGGUUGAAAGCUGACUCUGUGCCAGGCCCUAAUCAGUGUGCUGAGAAUGAAACAGAAGUCUGCUCUCUCAGAGCUUACCUCCUCCCGAGAGAAGACAGACAAUGAGCAAGUAACCCUAGGUGAGUAACAGGCCCCACUAUACUGAGUGCUGAGGGCCUUCACAACGCAGGAGGAGGGGGAAGGAAGUUGCCAGAGCAAAGGGGAAGUGACACUAUUUUAUGCAGGGUGGACAGAAGAGGCCUCCUGAUAAAGUGACAUUUGAGCAGACACCUGAAGGAGGUGAGGAAGAGAGCCCUGCAGAUACCCAGGGGAAGAGCUGAAAAGUACAAGCAACAGCGAAUGCAAAGGUCCUGAGGCAGGAGCGUGCUUGACUUGGCACAAGAACAGCAAACACCAAGCAGAAUGCCUGGCCUGUAUUAGACCCCGUAAACGCCUGAACUACAUACAUGGCAGAGAUGAAGCACACAGUCUCGGAAAUCUGGCUGUGCAGGUUCAAAUUCCAGUUCUCCUACUUAUCUCUUGGCUCUUCUUUAGCUCUUUCCUUCCCUUCCCAUGGUUCUUGUCCCAUGGCUCUUCCUGCCCCAAGGAACCCCCAUCAAGGCUGCCAAAGUCCCAGACUUUGUGACUGCUCCCUGUGAGAGACGGGUCUAUUCACGCCACUCUCCUCGGGCUCGAGGACGCUCCAUUUCCCCCUGCAGGGAAGUGCGGGAAUCUUCAGUUCUUGUCUGCUUGGAAGAAAGAUUUCAGCCAAGAGACACACAGCAAAGGUGAAGUAGCAGAGUUUAUUGAAGAAAGAUAAAGUACGUUCCUAGAAAGGAGUGGGCUGACCUGGCUGGAAAACAGCAUCAGACAAAAAACAGCAGUAGCAGUGUUUAUUUAAAGAGACAGUACACUCUGAAAGAACGAGCCAGCAGCAGCUGGUGCUGGGGGACCCUCUUUAUGAGAAUCUUACAUGAUUAUUCGUGAAGGGGCAUGAGGGAGUGUCACUUACAAUCAUGUUUUAGGUGGUCCCCUUGGCUGUGAAUGUUGUGUGUUUGUACGCGCUAGUAAACACAUUGCCUGUCUCAUUAGCAUUUAAAAUCUCCACUCAAGGGUGUGUUUUGUUGUUAUUAUUAUUAUUUUUUGAGACAGAGUCUCGCUCUGUCACCGAGGCUGGAGUGCAGUGGUGUGAUCUCGGUUCGCUGCAAUCUCUGCCUUCCGGGUUCCAGCGAUUCUCCUGCCUCAGCUUCCUGAGUAGCUGGGACUACAGGCACGCACCACCAUGCCUGGCUAAUUUUUGUAUUUUUUUAGUAGAGACGGGGUUUCACCAUAUUGGCCAGGCUGAUCUCAAACUCCUGACUUCGUCAUCCGCCCACCUCGGCCACUCAAAGUGCUGGGAUUACAGGCAUGAGCCACUGUGCCCGGCUUGUUAUUAUAAUGAGCAAAAGGCUACUGUAGGGCGAGUUACUAGAGGAGUGCACAUGCUUGUCAGUGGGAAAGUCCCUACCAUGGUUAUCUCUGGGUAAGGCCUCAUAAGUCCCCUUUAGGGCCAGAGGAGCCCAACCACAAGGCCAGAAGUUGCCAGUGUAGCCGUUGUCUCUUUGCUGGCUGCCAGUGGGUGGCGCUGACUGUCAGUGAAUGGAGUCUCCAGGACUUCUUUUCCCAAACGCUCUCUUGCCUGCUUAUUUCUGGCUAUCUGCCUACUCUAACAGUCAGACUUGUAAAUGUUUUACCAGUUGGAUAAGGCAAAAGGGAAUCUCAUUGCAGUUUUCACUGGUUCUCACUGCUGACUAAUGCAACCAAGCAUUUUUCCAUACACCGGCUGGCAGUACUGUUAUUUUAUUAUUAUUGUCAUUAGUUGAAGAUGUUGUGAAAAGAGAGACAAAUAGUCCCAACUUUGCUGAGGCAGUGGUAGUGUUGUUAUUAUUAUUAUUAUUAUUAUUAUUAUUUUUUGAGACAGAGUCUCGCUCUGUCACCUUUUGUGAAGAAGAGUGGUAGAAGAAGGCGGUGCUGAGGCUGAGGUAGUAGAGAAGGGUGAGUGGUAUCGGCAGCUUCCAUGUAUAGGGGCCUCUGGAAGGUCUGAAUGUCAGUUGGGAAAUCAAUCAUUUGCUCCACCUAGCAGCUCCCCUGGGCCCCUAAGCUAUAGAGGGUCUAGCGCUUAGGAGACUGGAGUAGGGGGUCAGAGGAGACACCAGUCCUGGGUACACACAGCUCCUGCCCAAAGUGAAGUCACCACCAGUGAGGACACAGCAGAGGGGGUGCCAAAGGAAGGCUGGGGUGGGGCGGGAGGUGGU
Molecule: RNA transcript, 4090 nt
Organism: Pan troglodytes (chimpanzee)
Lineage: Eukaryota; Metazoa; Chordata; Mammalia; Primates; Hominidae
Gene: SIRPB2
Gene name: signal regulatory protein beta 2
Exons: 7
Source: RefSeq, a predicted model, not a curated record